This 1125-nucleotide long non-coding RNA is filed under the name Homo sapiens (human). RNAcentral's name for it is "HSALNT0100555". The record is from RNAcentral. Lineage: Eukaryota; Metazoa; Chordata; Mammalia; Primates; Hominidae.
CUUUCCAACGGGAUUAAGUCACGUACACAGGGUCUGCAACAGAGACAGCACGCAGUGGGCCCUGGGUGUGCUAUUUGGAAGGGCUGCGGCGUGGAAGAGCCAAGCCUCAAGAUCAUGGGACAUUUGAACCUAUGACGUCAGAAUACAUCAACAGGUGUUUUGAUGUGAGUUUUCUUCCGGACCAUCACACUGUUGUACUCUUAUGUUUGCGCUCACCCAUGAUCAAUAGUCAUGGCACUGUGAAGUCAGGACAGUAAACAGUGGCCCAUGGCUCUGUGUGGGGUGAGGGGCCGGCGUGCUGGCAGGAGGCCUUUAUGAUCCCAGGCAAGUCCUGACUGUGUCUGGCUGGCUGCUGCAGGACCUUUCACCAUGUUUACCUUUGCUCUGCUCCCCAGCGGACGAUGGUUGAUGUCGCAUUUCCAAACUGACUUCUACUUUGACCUCAUACAGUGUGACGGUGAAUAGACAACAGAAUUGUAAGGCAAACACCUGUUUGUAAACAGAGAGAAGCCCAACCACCCUGGUCAAAAUGAAUGAGCCCAAGCCUAAAAUCAAUCAGAGUGUGGGCAAGAAGGUUGCCUUUUUAAAGGAAAAAUAAAACUUAGAGCCUGUUUUCCAUAAGCAUGUGCUUUCCAUAGCACAUUUAGCACUGUGAUAAAUGUAGGGUGUUCUUGUGAGGAGAUUUUAAGUAUGUGAAAGUUAAUUUAUUCCUGCAAUCUUCUCAUAUCCAAGCCUUAACAAAUGAGUUCUUGCAAAGUUGAAAUCAUCACACUAUAUACGUAAUCUUUUUUUCACUAUUAUGAUGGCUAAAAUUCCUCAACACAGAUUGUUUGCUACAAACUGGCAUGGGAUUUGUUUUAAUACUGCUUACUUUGUGUGUAUCGUAACGCUUAAAAACGAUUAAGAUUUGUAACUUUUCCUUUUCCCAAAUGUAAAGUUUUCCACCAAAACUACAAAAAAAUCCAUUAGUUUCCCUGCAUGGUAGUCAGUCUUUAUAAAACAGUCGCCAAGCCUUGCCUCCUGGUGUUCACACCCUUCCCAUAGCCCAUGUAACCAACAGGAGGCUGCAGAAGUGGUAAUGUACAACUUCCAAGGCUGAGUCACAAAAGACACUGAGCACUCCCC